CACAUGGGUUAGUCGAUC
Molecule: small nuclear RNA, 18 nt
Filed under: Arabidopsis thaliana (thale cress)
Lineage: Eukaryota; Viridiplantae; Streptophyta; Magnoliopsida; Brassicales; Brassicaceae
Description: snRNA_04052
Source: RNAcentral